UACGUAGGGGGCGAGCGUUGUCCGGAGUUACUGGGCGUAAAGGGCACGCAGGCGGUCAUGUAAGUCUGUUCUGACAGCUCCUGGCUCAACCGGGAGAGGCGAACGGAAACUGUGUGACUUGAGGACUUCAGAGGGACACGGAAUUCCGGGUGGAGUGGUGAAAUGCGUAGAGAUCCGGAGGAACACCAAAGGCGAAGGCAGUGUCCUGGGAAGUACCUGACGCUCAGGUGCGAAAGCCAGGGGAGCGAACGGG
Molecule: ribosomal RNA, 253 nt
Filed under: uncultured bacterium
Lineage: Bacteria
Description: partial 16S ribosomal RNA
Rfam family: Bacterial small subunit ribosomal RNA
Source: RNAcentral